This 689-nucleotide long non-coding RNA is filed under the name Gallus gallus (chicken). Its description in RNAcentral is "long non-coding RNA NONGGAT007142". The record is from RNAcentral. Lineage: Eukaryota; Metazoa; Chordata; Aves; Galliformes; Phasianidae.
GACAUAGUUCUCUAAAUAUAUUUGUUUUGCAGGUUCAUUUGUAGUUCAUUAUAAUGAUUGUUCAGAUUCAUAGUGGAAAGAGAGGUCAUUACUAUUGUUCUAGUAGAGUAAGGCGCUGUGGUACGACAUAACACGUCAUGCUUUCCCUGACUUUGCAUCAAGACAGAAGAUCUGCUCUGGUCUACUGCCUGCGUCCUGGUAUUUAUCCCUGCUAUUAUCCCCUUGCAUGGAGCUUUCAACUAAGGGUAGAAAAGUCACCCAGUGCCAAGAUGUUACCCAGCACACGUUAGUAGGACAUCAUGUUAAGUGAAGAGUGAAACAGGAGGUACAGCAGGUACAGACACCUAACUUCCAAGGACUCUUGAAAUCAGAGAGGAUGAUAAAGGCUCCAGUAUCCUCCUUCAUCUUGGGAUGCAUUUUGCUGCCCUUCUCAGACUAAUGUGAUGUGAAUCCAUUACACAGCUACUUUUACCUGGCAGGAACGGACGAACAGCAAGGUACCCAAGCAAAGCCAGCACACCCAGGAAAGGCAAUAACCGCAGCCAUUCUGAAACUGAAGACAAGCGGAAUUUAGACUGGCUCUCGGCACCGCUUCAGCCUAGUGCAGCAUCAGCUAUUCUCAAACGCUUUGGACUUCAGGUAGGGAACAGGACUGCAGAGUCAGCAGGGCUGAAGGCAGGUGAGACUCC